Molecule: ribosomal RNA, 713 nt
Filed under: uncultured bacterium
Lineage: Bacteria
Description: bacterial SSU rRNA
Rfam family: Bacterial small subunit ribosomal RNA
Source: RNAcentral
CCCUAAACGAUGUCUACUAGUUGUCGGGUUUUAAUUAACUUGGUAACGCAGCUAACGCGUGAAGUAGACCGCCUGGGGAGUACGGUCGCAAGAUUAAAACUCAAAGGAAUUGACGGGGACCCGCACAAGCGGUGGAUGAUGUGGAUUAAUUCGAUGCAACGCGAAAAACCUUACCUACCCUUGACAUGUACGGAAGGCCGAAGAGAUUUGGCUGUGCUCGAAAGAGAACCGUAACACAGGUGCUGCAUGGCUGUCGUCAGCUCGUGUCGUGAGAUGUUGGGUUAAGUCCCGCAACGAGCGCAACCCUUGUCAUUAGUUGCUACGAAAGGGCACUCUAAUGAGACUGCCGGUGACAAACCGGAGGAAGGUGGGGAUGACGUCAAGUCCUCAUGGCCCUUAUGGGUAGGGCUUCACACGUCAUACAAUGGUACAUACAGAGCGCCGCCAACCCGCGAGGGGGAGCUAAUCGCAGAAAGUGUAUCGUAGUCCGGAUUGUAGUCUGCAACUCGACUACAUGAAGUUGGAAUCGCUAGUAAUCGCGGAUCAGCAUGUCGCGGUGAAUACGUUCCCGGGUCUUGUACACACCGCCCGUCACACCAUGGGAGCGGGUUUUACCAGAAGUAGGUAGCUUAACCGCAAGGAGGGCGCUUACCACGGUAGGAUUCUUGACUGGGGUGAAGUCGUACCAAGGUAAGCCCGUAUCGGAAGGUGCC